Long non-coding RNA from Canis lupus familiaris (dog), 1655 nucleotides. RefSeq lists it as uncharacterized. The transcript has 8 exons. NCBI's taxonomy places the organism in Eukaryota, Metazoa, Chordata, Mammalia, Carnivora, Canidae. The record is from RefSeq and is a predicted model, not a curated record.
GGCGGUGAUGGGGCGCCGCCGAAGGGCGCAGGUGCCGUGUCCAUGACAACCGCGUUCCCCUCCGGGCGGGCGCCCGGACCUGAGUGGCCGCAAGCCGCGGGGACCGGUUUCUGAGACCCGGCUGGAGGCAAUAAAUGUAAAAAUGCAGGCCAAAGGAUUAUCAGACAAGUUCAUCUCUUUAACAUUGAGAGGAUUCAUUUAUAGAUUUUUUUACUCUGGAACAGCAUUUUCCAAACUCGACUCCAAGGUAGAAUAGUUCCUGACUGAAUUCUUCCAAUAAGAAUCAGACUCAGUGUGUUUCUUCUCUCAUAAUCAUGGGACUAGUCAACUACAAUCAUGAAUCACCCAGACUAAGUUAUGCCAAGGAUAAAGAUUACCCUUUAUCACCGGCAGUCCUCAUCCAAUCAACCAAAGGAUUGAAUAGAAUAAGACCAGCUUUCCAGGAAAAGAAGGAAUCCUCCAGUAAAUGCCUUCAGACUUCUGUACUAGUAACUCUCCUGGGUCUUCAGCACACUGGCCCACACUACAGAUAUUGCCAGCCUUCAUAAUCAUCUAUCUUGAUCCUUGCUGAUACAAAAUUUGCUACCAAGUGUGUGGUGCUGAAUCAAGGCAGAAGGAGGUCAGUGAAAAAGAGUCCCUCCCUCCUGGACUAGGAAGUUGGUGAUCUUUGUAAAGCAGUUAUAUAAGAGUUCCCUUACGACCACAAUAUAUUGGUAUGGGUACUAUCAGCAAAUUAUAAAUAGCUACAUCUGGACCUGAAGGAAAAGAAUGGAUGAAUCUUCAGGUGUCUCCUUUGGACAUGGACUCUCUUGCAGAGCAGAGAACUGAAGGGACAGAGAACUUAUGACCAUUUGGUGACUCUGGAUGACAGGUGAAAUAGAAGAUGGGACCAAAAAGAACAAAUGCUAGAAGCAGCUGCAUCAAUAUCAACGUGGCAACUAAUAGAGCAAUAUGAUAAGCCCGGAGCUGAGGACACAAAAUCAAAAGCCUAGGGAUAACUGAAUCAAUAAAGCCAGAAAUGUGUGAGAUGAUAAAUGGCAACUAGCAACUGACAUCCAGCUGUGGUGUUGGGGAAACAGAGGUAUUGGAGGCUGUGCUAAGAAAGCACAUGCCCUGUUUGCUGCUCCUCAGCUCCUGCAGGAUUCUUUCAUGCAGAACUGUGGGCUGAAAUUACCAGAACUUCCAAUUUAUGAUACACUUUGGAACUCCAGAUUUUGUGAGAAACAUCCCUAUUUUAAAAUAUUGACAACUAGUUCGAAUUAAAGCACUGUGUAAGCCUCUCGUAGGCAGGGCAACACACACACACACACACACACACACACACACACACACACACACAGAACAAAACUCACAAAAACUCCAACGUAUCUGAAUCCUGGAUUGGAAGGAUUUCCAUCAGUUUCCCACAUAUGCCUUAUGGGAAAUUUUUAUGGACUAAUAUUUCUCUCAGUUAAGAGAUCAUUUUCUGAAAAUCAGCACUUCCUACAAUUUCACUUAUUUCUUCUUUUGUUGCUGCUACACUCCAGAAGAUUUAAGUUUCAUAAUUUUCCUUAAAAAUGUCAAAAUGGCUCAGUCAGUAGAGCCUGUGAAUCUUGAUCUUGUGGUUGUGAGCUCAAGUCUCAUGUUCGGUGUAGAGAUUACCUAAAAAUAAAAUA